CCUACGGGUGGCUGCAGUGGGGAAUAUUGGACAAUGGGGGGAACCCUGAUCCAGCCAUGCCGCGGGGGUGAAGAAGGCCCCCGGGUUGUAAAGAACUUUAAGGGAGGAAGAACGCUGGGGGGUAAAUCCCCUCCGGGAAAGACAUCACUCACAGAAGAGGCACCGGCUAACUCCGUGCCAGCAGCCGCGGUAAUACGGAGGGUGCGAGCGUUAAUCGGAAUUACUGGGCGUAAAGCGCGCGUAGGUGGCUUGAUAAGCCGGUUGUGAAAGCCCCGGGCUCAACCUGGGAACGGCAUCCGGAACUGUCAAGCUAGAGUGCAGGAGAGGAAGGUAGAAUUCCCGGUGUAGCGGUGAAAUGCGUAGAGAUCGGGAGGAAUACCAGUGGCGAAGGCGGCCUUCUGGACUGACACUGACACUGAGGUGCGAAAGCGUGGGUAGCAAACAGGAUUAGAUACCCUGUAGUC
This 464-nucleotide ribosomal RNA is filed under the name Vreelandella stevensii. Its description in RNAcentral is "partial 16S ribosomal RNA". It matches the Rfam family "Bacterial small subunit ribosomal RNA", at positions 338 to 795 of the family's 1533-position model. The record is from RNAcentral. Lineage: Bacteria; Pseudomonadati; Pseudomonadota; Gammaproteobacteria; Oceanospirillales; Halomonadaceae.